RNAcentral lists this ribosomal RNA (251 nucleotides) under uncultured prokaryote. Its description in RNAcentral is "partial 16S rRNA". It matches the Rfam family "Bacterial small subunit ribosomal RNA", at positions 525 to 775 of the family's 1533-position model. The record is from RNAcentral.
ACGGAGGGUGCAAGCGUUAUUCGGAAUUACUGGGCUUAAAGCGCGCGUAGGCGGCUUUUUAAGUCAGAUGUGAAAUCCCGGGGCUCAACCCAGGAAGUGCAUUUGAAACUGGUUGGCUUGAGUAAGGUAGAGGGGGGUGGAAUUCCUGGUGUAGCGGUGAAAUGCGUAGAUAUCAGGAGGAACGCCGGUGGCGAAGGCGGCUCCCUGGACCAAUACUGACGCUGAGGCGCGAAAGCGUGGGGAGCAAACAG